CUGAGAAAACAGGCUCAAAGAGGUUGCGUACUCAAUUGCAUCCAACUCUUUGCAACCUCCCAGACUGUAGCCCACCAGGCUCUUCUGUCCAUAGGAUUUGUCAGGCAAGAAUACUGGUGUGGGUUGCCAUUUCCUUCUCUGGGGGAUUAUCAUGACCCAGGAAUCGAACCUGUGUCUCUUGCACCUCUUGCAUUGGCAGGCGGAUUCUUUACCACUAGCACCACCUCAGAGAGGUUGAGGUUGAGUCAAUUUUUCACAUUCACAUGCUAAAAAGUGAUGGCUUUGAACCAAGGUACAUUGCAUUGAGAAGGGGCUCUGAAAGCACCCUUGAGCUGAAUUCUAGGAAAGGCCAACCCCCGUGUGGUCAUUAUGAAUGUGGUCUUCUGGUUUUCUUCCAUCUGGGGCAUGACAAAGUCAGAGUUGCACAUACCUGCCCCUUUGAGGUCAGGAUCAUGAUUUUAUGACUAAUUAGUCAUGACUGAUGCAUCAAGUCUCUCUGUCUCCCUGAUGAAGGAAUUACCCUACGUUUCUAACUGAACCUGAUCAAGAGGACAGGUCAUGCUUAGGAGACUGCAGUAGUUGGAUUUGGGAUGGACCCAUUGCUUACCUCAAAGUCACCUGAACGAAGUAGAUUAAAAAUGGGAAAUUGAGAGGCUUCCCUGGUGGCUCAGUGGUGGAGAAUCUGCCUGCAAAUUCAGGAGACACAGGUUCGAUCCCUGGCCUGGGAAGAUCCCACAUGCCA
Long non-coding RNA from Bos taurus (domestic cattle), 742 nucleotides. The record is from Ensembl. NCBI's taxonomy places the organism in Eukaryota, Metazoa, Chordata, Mammalia, Artiodactyla, Bovidae.